AAGAGACGACCUGUCACUCAGGUUGGAGUGCCAUGGUGCAAUCAUAGUUCACUGCAGCCUCGACCUCUCAGGCUCAAGCAAUCAUCUUGCCUCAGCAUCCUGAGUAGCUGGGACUACAGGAGGUGUCCCCAUGCAAUAAAGAAAAUAAGAAUUGGAUUAGUAGCAGCCAUCUGUGCAGGGGAGACUGAGCUCCGCAACUCUGUGUCCAUGAGGCUUGGCUGGUGAGUGCCAGUGCCUCCACACCCCCAAGUAGGCACUGAGCAGUAACGUGGGGGAAGGGCUACACCUUUCUCUGUGGGCAGCCCUGGGAUGGGCAAUGUCAUGCCAGCAAAGCUGGCAGAUGGUGGGAUCCUGUACACUGGGUGUGCUGGGAGCAACCUGGCUAUCACCCCUGGGAAUGGGCCAUACCAUUGGGCCAACAAUCUGGGGCUUUACACCAGACUUGCUAGGGACCUGUCAGGAGGAGUAACAGACCGGGUUUAUGUCCCCUAAGGGAUCUCUGGUACCAUCGUAGGAGUCAGUGCUCAUGAAAAACAAAAGAAAAUGUGGCACAUAUACACCAUGGAAUACUAUGCAGCCAUAAAAAAUGAUGAGUUCAU
This 599-nucleotide long non-coding RNA is filed under the name Homo sapiens (human). Its description in RNAcentral is "HSALNT0331755". The record is from RNAcentral. Lineage: Eukaryota; Metazoa; Chordata; Mammalia; Primates; Hominidae.